Molecule: ribosomal RNA, 20 nt
Filed under: Tuber indicum
Lineage: Eukaryota; Fungi; Ascomycota; Pezizomycetes; Pezizales; Tuberaceae
Description: partial 28S ribosomal RNA
Source: RNAcentral
GGUUGACCUCGAAUCAGGUA